AUACGUAGGUGGCGAGCGUUGUUCGGAAUUACUGGGCGUAAAGGGCGCGUAGGCGGCGCUUCAAGUCGUCUGUCAAAUGGGAGGGCUUAACCCUUUUUCGCAGACGAAACUGGAGAGCUUGAGAAGCAGAGAGGCAAACAGAAUUCCUGGUGUAGCGGUGAAAUGCGUAGAUAUCAGGAAGAAUACCAGUGGCGAAGGCGGUUUGCUGGCUGCAUACUGACGCUGAAGCGCGAAAGCCAGGGGAGCAAACGGGAUUAGAUACCCCGGUAGUCCUGGCAGUAAACGAUGUAUGCUGGGUGUGAGACUAGCGAUAGUUUCGUGCCGAAGUUAACGCGAUAAGCAUACCGCCUGGGGAGUACGGUCGCAAGAUUGAAACUCAAAGGAAUUGACGGGG
RNAcentral lists this ribosomal RNA (394 nucleotides) under uncultured bacterium. RNAcentral's name for it is "partial 16S ribosomal RNA". It matches the Rfam family "Bacterial small subunit ribosomal RNA", at positions 523 to 918 of the family's 1533-position model. The record is from RNAcentral.